RNAcentral lists this ribosomal RNA (468 nucleotides) under uncultured bacterium. Its description in RNAcentral is "partial 16S ribosomal RNA". It matches the Rfam family "Bacterial small subunit ribosomal RNA", at positions 28 to 507 of the family's 1533-position model. The record is from RNAcentral.
GACGAACGCUGGCGGCGUGCUUAACACAUGCAAGUCGAACGGAAAGGCCCUGCUUUUGUGGGGUGCUCGAGUGGCGAACGGGUGAGUAACACGUGAGUAACCUGCCCUUGACUUUGGGAUAACUUCAGGAAACUGGGGCUAAUACCGGAUAGGAGCUCCUGCUGCAUGGUGGGGGUUGGAAAGUUUCGGCGGUUGGGGAUGGACUCGCGGCUUAUCAGCUUGUUUGUGGGGUAGUGGCUUACCAAGGCUUUGACGGGUAGCCGGCCUGAGAGGGUGAACGGGCACAUUGGGACUGAGAUACGGACCAGACUCCUACGGGAGGCAGCAGUGGGGAAUAUUGCACAAUGGGCGGAAGCCUGAGGCAGAAACGCCGCGUGCGGGAUGACGGCCUUCGGGUUGUAAACCGCUUUCGACUGUGACGAAGCGUGAGUGACGGUAAUGGGUAAAGAAGCACCGGCUAACUACGUG